UCCUUCGGGAGUUGUAAUUUGUAGGUUGGGAGACCCCGCGGCUAGUGGCACCAAGUCCCUUGGAACAGGGCGCCUUAGAGGGUGAGAGCCCCGUAGGUACCACGACGCCGUCUUUGUGUCUCCUCUCCAAAGAGUCGAGUUGUUUGGGAAUGCAGCUCAAAGUGGGUGGUAAAUUCCAUCUAAAGCUAAAUACCGGCGAGAGACCGAUAGCGAACAAGUACAGUGAUGGAAAGAUGAAAAGCACUUUGAAAAGAGAGUGAAACAGUACGUGAAAUUGUUGAAAGGGAAGGGCUUGCAAGCAGACACGGCCUCGUGCCGGGCCAGCAUCGGUUGCUAGGGGUGGAUAAGGAGCAAGGAAUGUAGCUCCUCGGAGUAUUAUAGCCUUGCGCGAUACACCCACUGGCGACCGAGGCCUGCGGUAUUCUUUACCUAGGAUGCUGGCGUAAUGGUUGCAAGCCGCCCGUCUUG
Molecule: ribosomal RNA, 468 nt
Filed under: Sungouiella intermedia
Lineage: Eukaryota; Fungi; Ascomycota; Pichiomycetes; Serinales; Metschnikowiaceae
Description: eukaryotic LSU rRNA
Rfam family: Eukaryotic large subunit ribosomal RNA
Source: RNAcentral